GGGGUCUGGCUCUUCCGGGGGCAGGAGCUGGCCUUUACUCUGUGCCCGGACUGGCAGGUGGAUUACGAGUCCUACACCUGGCGCAAGCUGGAUCCCGACAGCGCCGAGUGCCGGACCCUGGUCCAGGAAUAUUUCCUGUGGGAAGGGGAAUUCCGGCACGUGGGAAAACCCUUCAACCAGGGCAAGAUCUUCAAGUGAUCCCGACGGGAUCCCGGGGGGGAGGGGGGAUCCCUGGGGGGGGGGGGUUUCCCGGGAUUGAUCCCAGGGGGAAUCCCGGGCUCCUUCCGGGCUGAGCCGGGGCCGUUCCCGGCGCUCCCGUGUUCCCCGUUAUCCUCCUGAUCCAUAAAAAACCUUCAACCAGGGCGAGA
Long non-coding RNA from Chiroxiphia lanceolata (lance-tailed manakin), 368 nucleotides. RefSeq lists it as uncharacterized. The transcript has 2 exons. The record is from RefSeq and is a predicted model, not a curated record. NCBI's taxonomy places the organism in Eukaryota, Metazoa, Chordata, Aves, Passeriformes, Pipridae.